RNAcentral lists this non-coding RNA (183 nucleotides) under Cohnella zeiphila. RNAcentral's name for it is "6S / SsrS RNA". It matches the Rfam family "6S / SsrS RNA". From Rfam's summary of the family: E. coli 6S RNA was the first non coding RNA to be sequenced, but its function was unknown until recently. It consists of 184 nucleotides that fold into an extended hairpin structure with a large single-stranded internal bulge. The 6S RNA specifically associates with RNA polymerase holoenzyme containing the sigma70 specificity factor. Lineage: Bacteria; Bacillati; Bacillota; Bacilli; Caryophanales; Paenibacillaceae. The record is from Rfam by way of RNAcentral.
UACCUCCUGCGAUGUUCGUGACGACGAUAAUUGUUUUGAACCAAUGCUGUUUCUACGGGAGACCUACAUCGCUUGGCCGCUGACAUGCCCGCGAAACGGGACGCCAAUAAGCCAAGCUGCGGACACCCACCUGCGAGAGCGGGUUCAGAAACUUGCGCGUCGAACGGCAUAGGCGGGUUUUUU